ACGGGUGAGUAAUGUUUGGGAAACUGCCCGAUGGAGGGGGAUAACUACUGGAAACGGUAGCUAAUACCGCAUAAUGUCGCAAGACCAAAGAGGGGGACCUUAGGGCCUCUUGCCAUCGGAUGUGCCCAGAUGGGAUUAGCUAGUAGGUGGGGUAAUGGCUCACCUAGGCGACGAUCCCUAGCUGGUCUGAGAGGAUGACCGGCCACACUGGAACUGAGACACGGUCCAG
Molecule: ribosomal RNA, 229 nt
Filed under: uncultured bacterium
Lineage: Bacteria
Description: partial 16S ribosomal RNA
Rfam family: Bacterial small subunit ribosomal RNA
Source: RNAcentral